CAGUUUUCCUUAGGAUUAUGGUUCUCAUUGAGUUGUCAAGUUAAAUGAGACUUGACCAGAUAAUCUCUGUGGAAUGAUCCUCCUCACCCCGUCUUUAAUUAAUUAUUGUUUUUCCUUUUAGUUCUUAACUUCAAUUUUCAAUGAUUUUUAGGCAUAUGGCCUAUAUUAUGGAUACAAAUGAAGAAGAGAGGGUGAAGGGAAUAACAGUUGAAGUUGGAAGAGCACCUUUUGAAAUAGAGACGACGAGAUUUACAAUUCUUGAUGCCCUGGUUAGUAGUAAACAUUCAUUGACCGAAGCAAUUGUUUGAUAUGCUAAAAAGUUUUCGAGAGCAUGAGAAGAACUCUAAGUGGACAGAAAUUCGAGGAUUUGAAUCCAUAACCAGCCAAGGUGUCAAAGCUUUUAACUGAAAUGAAUUAGGAAAUUUAUAAUUUGAAACAAGAGCCUGAUGUUGGAUCAAGACAGAUCUAUUCCAGUUGAUGAUGAAGUGUUAGCAGAAACAGAAUAAUUGGCACAUACUGCAGAUGCUCGUGAUCCCGAAAAAUGCCACAAUUUAUCUAGUGUAAAUAUUUGUUGAUCAAUUUUUUUGUUUUUACAUUGUUGAAUGCAUUCUUUUAUUUUUUAUAAUUCAUUUUUUUUACCAUGGGAAGACAGAGAAGUGGAUGUGUUGAGUUUGAAUAUUGUUAAGUGAAUGACAUUGUUUGAG
This is a long non-coding RNA of Solanum stenotomum, 704 nucleotides long. RefSeq lists it as uncharacterized. The record is from RefSeq and is a predicted model, not a curated record. NCBI's taxonomy places the organism in Eukaryota, Viridiplantae, Streptophyta, Magnoliopsida, Solanales, Solanaceae. The transcript is spliced from 3 exons.